Long non-coding RNA from Megalobrama amblycephala (Wuchang bream), 1763 nucleotides. RefSeq lists it as uncharacterized. The transcript has 6 exons. The record is from RefSeq and is a predicted model, not a curated record. NCBI's taxonomy places the organism in Eukaryota, Metazoa, Chordata, Actinopteri, Cypriniformes, Xenocyprididae.
UUACCACGGUUUUACCACAGUAACUGCAGUUUUAAUGUGGUAUUUGUAGUUAAAACACAGUAACCACAACUCUUGCAAUGCUUUUACCAUAGUAACUGCAGUUUUAAUGUGGUAUUUGUAGUUAAAACACAGUAACGGCAACACUUGCAAUGGUUUUACCACAGUAACUGCAGUUUUAAUGCGGUAUUUGUAGUUAAAACACAGUAACGGCAACACUUACCACGGUUUUACCACAGUAACUGCAGUUUUAAUGCGGUAAUUGUAGUUAAAACACAGUAACGGCAACACUUACCACGGUUUUACCACAGUAACUGCAGUUUUAAUGUGGUAUUUGUAGUUAAAACACAGUAACCACAACUCUUGCCAUGCUUACAAUAUCUUUUUGUAUUGUAGUUGUAAUUCAAUAUUUUUUUCUGUUUUGCAGUUACUUCAGAUGACAUAUUCCAUCUCCAUCUCCCACAACCUUUAAUUCAACAGCUCUUUUAGGAAGCCAUCUCUCUCAAAAGCCUACUUACUGUCCAUUUGUCUCUCUCUCUCUCUCUCUAAUUCAACUUCAAAUUAGCUUAAUUGGCAUGACUUGUACAGCAUUGCCUUUACAUGAGCAAUAAACAAAAUUAUGAUUAUAUAAAAAUAAGAAUAAAUAAAUACAUUAUUUUUUUAAUACACCAGAAGUAACAGCAGUAUUAAGACAAUGUAAAAAUAAACUGUACAUGCAUGUACAAUAUUCUCACUUCUCUCUCUCUCUCUCUCUCUCAGCUUUUCCUUGCCUAUUUUUCUGACCUGUAAUCCGUAAUUCAUUUACACAUAUUUGUGCUCUCUUUCUUUCUUCUUCAUCAUGGCAUAUUUUAAAACUCAGAAUUAAAUUUUGACCAUCUGUCAGGAAGCUUCUUGCAUUAACAGGGAACUUGAACUCAAAUCUCCCAAUGCUGAUCUUGAUGAAGCUGCCAGGGAGGCUGAACAAGUCCUUCAAAGGUUCAACACUUCACAGCUGAAAAUGAAGACCAAAGGAAGGAGAGGGAUGGAUUUUGCCAGCUUGUGUGUUUACGGAAAACAAAAAAGCUGCAAAGGAAAACAUUUCCAAUGGAAGAAAGAGUUUGCAUGAUGUCUUUGUCAGACUAAAUCUGAUGUAUACAGAUGAACUCCGGAGACUGCUAGAGUUGCCAGGGAACUCGAGGCUGCUGAAACUGAAACGGCUACUAGUGAGGCUCAGCAAGUUCUUGCCAUGAUCAGCCCUCCUCAGCUGAAAUGUAAGAUCAAAAACGCAAAGAAAAUCAGUCGCAGCAAGCCAGGCAUACCAGUCCUGUUGGGGAUGAGGAAUGAACAUCAGAAAAAACAAAAAUGAAAAAGAUGCACAUUUCCAUUGAAUGAGCAAAUCAGCUGUGCGAUCAUCUUUGGAAUUUGGGCAGGAAAUUACAGAAUAUGAGGUAGAGAACCUGGCAGCUGGCACUGAAAACACUCAAUGUUGAGGUCAGACCUUACAGAAGUGGUCAGAGAAGCAGGUUUGAGUCCAAAGAUGAUGGAGUCUUUGUUGACGGGAGUAUUCUGUGGCCCCCAAGUGCAGCACUGCAGCCUGAAACCAUCAGUUAUCUGCUGUGAAAACUCCUUUUUCCUAACAGCAUUUAACACAUGCACUGUGGAGAACAUCCUGACUGGCUGCAUCCCUGCCUGGUGUAGGAACAGCACUGCCCUCAACUGCAAAGCUCUGCAGAGAGUGUUACGACCUGCACAGAAUAUUGUUGGAGGUGAGCUUCCCUCCCUCCAGG